This 75-nucleotide antisense RNA is filed under the name Streptomyces caatingaensis. RNAcentral describes it as "ASpks TB sRNA". It matches the Rfam family "ASpks TB sRNA". Lineage: Bacteria; Bacillati; Actinomycetota; Actinomycetes; Kitasatosporales; Streptomycetaceae. The record is from Rfam by way of RNAcentral.
CUUCAGCGAGCCGACCCACAGGGGCGCGUGGGCCGGGCGGUCCUGGCCGUAGGUGGCGAGGAGGGCCUCGGCCUC